UAUGAACCAAUUUUUUAUAUUUUCCUUUUUUUAAUUCGGCAAUGUAGUAAACCAAACACAUGUUCAUGCAUAUUUAAAACAUAUACAAUACUUCACUUUAUUUGGACCGAGAUACAUAACUCAAAACAUUGCUCCUUGUAAAAGACGAAGUUUAUCAAUAACACACUCCUGGAUAAACCGACCGUAAGAUCUAAAAGCAUAGCAAAGUGUAUUUUAUUUGGAAUAAUUCUUUUCUGGUCCUCAAAAUUAUUGUAUUUAAUAUUAUGAAAUAUAUUAAGUGCACAC
This 285-nucleotide long non-coding RNA is filed under the name Mytilus galloprovincialis (Mediterranean mussel). The record is from RNAcentral. Lineage: Eukaryota; Metazoa; Mollusca; Bivalvia; Mytilida; Mytilidae.